CCUACGGGUGGCAGCAGUGAGGAAUAUUGGUCACUGGACGAGAGUCUGAACCAGCCAAGUAGCGUGAAGGAUGACUGCCCUAUGGGUUGUAAACUUCUUUUAUAAAGGAAUAAAACGAGGCACGUGUGCCUUUUUGCAUGUACUUUAUGAAUAAGGAUCGGCUAACUCCGUGCCAGCAGCCGCGGUAAUACGGAGAAUACGAGCGUUAUCCGGAGUUAUUGGGUGUAAAGGGAGCGGAGAUGGGUAUUUAUGUCAGUUGUGAAAGUUUGCGUCUCAACCGUGAAAUUGCAAUUGAUACUGGCAGUCAUGAGUACAGGUGAGGUAGGCGGAAGGCGUGGUGUAGCGGUGAAAUGCUUAGAUAUCACGAAGAACUCCGAUUGCGAAGGCAGCUUACUAAACUGUGACUGACAUUGAUGCUCGAAAGUGUGGGUAUCAAACAGGAUUAGAUACCCCUGUAGUC
Molecule: ribosomal RNA, 460 nt
Filed under: uncultured bacterium
Lineage: Bacteria
Description: partial 16S ribosomal RNA
Rfam family: Bacterial small subunit ribosomal RNA
Source: RNAcentral